RNAcentral lists this long non-coding RNA (1096 nucleotides) under Lepidothrix coronata (blue-crowned manakin). RNAcentral's name for it is "lncRNA (ENSLCOG00000014369.1)". The record is from RNAcentral. Lineage: Eukaryota; Metazoa; Chordata; Aves; Passeriformes; Pipridae.
AAGGGGGUCGGUAGGAGGGAGUUGCGCUCUUCUCGGCGGUGCCGAGCAAGAGGAUGAGUCCUUUCCCCCUGAUUUCUCCCAGGCUGCGCCUUCUCGUUCUUUCAGCCGGCGGUGUGCCCUUGCGGCCGGGAGCGCCCGCGGAAGCCUGGGAUGCACUAGGAAGAACGCUGCCAGCAGGUCGAGGGACGUGAUCCUGCACCUCGGGCCCAGUGAGGCCGCAUCUGGACUGCUGUGUUCACUUCUGGUCUCCACAGCUCAAAAAGGACAUGGAGGUACUGCAGAGGGUCCAGCAGAGGCCACAAAGAUGAUGAGGGGUCUGGAGAAUCUCCCUCAUGAGGGGAGACUGUGGGAGCUGGACUUAUUUAGUCUAGAGAAGCCUGAAAGGGGACCUUAAUGCAUAUAAUAUCUCAAAGGUGGGUGCCUAGAGGAAGGUGUCAGAAUCUUUUUCAGUGGUGCUCAGUGACAAGACAAGGAGUAGUGGCCAUAAACUAAAACACAAGAAGUUCCACCUCAGCAUGAGGAAGAACUUUACAAUGAGGGUGGCAGAGCACAGGAAUAGGCUGCCCAUGGAGGUCCUGGAGUCUCCCUCUCUGGAGAUACUGGAAACUCACCUGGACAUGUUCCUGCUGUUAGGUGUCCCUGCCUUGGCAGGGGGGUUGAACUAGUUGUUCUCCGGAAGUCCCUUCCAACCCUAAUGAUUCUGUGAUUCUUCCAGGGAAGAACUUUUUAAAAUAAUGCCUGAGCCCAUGCCUAGUUUGGGCUUGCUUCUGGCAGAGCUCAGAGUUUGGCCUCCUGUCAUGUGGGAUCCGGCCCCAAAGUGGGAACUGCCGUGUGCGCUCCCAGCCCCCCUCACUACACAGACCCACAGGGAGCACUCCUGCUGCUGCUACGUGAAGAGACAGCUGAGAGAGGACCUCACUAAUGCCUCUCCCCAGGAUGGUGGCUGCAACAGCAGGCUUGUGAUCUCCUCUACCUGAAGACUUCUCCUGGAAAGGAGGACUACAUGUCUGCUCCAGUGUAACCAGCAGGAACAUUACCUCGGUGUUAGACCUUUCCCAGGAAAGCCAGAAAUAUGCCUGACAUUGUAAAUAUCCAC